CCUACGGGAGGCAGCAGUGGGGAAUAUUGCACAAUGGGCGCAAGCCUGAUGCAGCGACGCCGCGUGAGGGAUAACGGCCUUCGGGUUGUAAACCUCUUUCAGUAGGGAAGAAGCGAAAGUGACGGUACCUGCAGAAGAAGCGCCGGCUAACUACGUGCCAGCAGCCGCGGUAAU
Molecule: ribosomal RNA, 174 nt
Filed under: uncultured Paenarthrobacter sp.
Lineage: Bacteria; Bacillati; Actinomycetota; Actinomycetes; Micrococcales; Micrococcaceae
Description: partial 16S ribosomal RNA
Rfam family: Bacterial small subunit ribosomal RNA
Source: RNAcentral